UUAGUACUUGUUUUCUUGUAUUCAUGAAAUUACAAUGCGUUUGGUUCAUCUCGGGGUAUCCGCUCACUGUGUUCUUUGGAAGAUGAAAAUGUACCUCAUGUAAUGUGACAUCAGCCUGUAACUGAUUCCUGCUAUCCUCUGAUUUUUUUUCACUUCUUUGAUUUUUUUGUUUUGCCUUUUGUUAUCUGCUUUUACUUGUGAGCUGCAGGACU
This 212-nucleotide long non-coding RNA is filed under the name Hordeum vulgare. RNAcentral's name for it is "long non-coding RNA (HVUL_LNC021125)". Lineage: Eukaryota; Viridiplantae; Streptophyta; Magnoliopsida; Poales; Poaceae. The record is from RNAcentral.